This 19-nucleotide microRNA is filed under the name Homo sapiens (human). RNAcentral's name for it is "hsa-miR-7641". The record is from RNAcentral. Lineage: Eukaryota; Metazoa; Chordata; Mammalia; Primates; Hominidae.
UUGAUCUCGGAAGCUAAGC